This 72-nucleotide transfer RNA is filed under the name Camelus bactrianus (Bactrian camel). It matches the Rfam family "tRNA". From Rfam's summary of the family: Transfer RNA (tRNA) molecules are approximately 80 nucleotides in length. Their secondary structure includes four short double-helical elements and three loops (D, anti-codon, and T loops). Lineage: Eukaryota; Metazoa; Chordata; Mammalia; Artiodactyla; Camelidae. The record is from Rfam by way of RNAcentral. RNAcentral also lists the same sequence under 2 other names.
GGGGGAAUAGCUCAGUGGUAGGGCACAUGCUUAGCAUGCACGAGGUCCUGGGUUCAAUCCCCAGUAUCUCCA